GAAUUUUGGACGAUGGGGGCAACCCUGAUCCAGCCAUCCCGCGCGUGCGAUGACGGCCUUCGGGUUGUAAAGCACUUUUGGCAGGGAAGAACAGUCUCUGGCUAAUACCUGGAGCUGCUGACGGUCCCUGCAGAAUAAGCCCCGCCUAACUACGUCCCAGCGGCCGCGGUAAUACGUAGGGUGCAAGCGUUAAUCGGAAUUACUGGGCGUAAAGCGUGCGCAGGCGGUUAGGCAAGAAGGAUGUGAAAUCCCAGGGCUUAACCUGAGAACUGCAUUCUUAACUGCCGGGCUAGAGUAUGUCAGAGGGGGAUAGAAUUCCGCGUGUAGCAGUGAAAUGCGUAGAGAUGCGGAGGAAUACCGAUGGCGAAGGCAGCCCCCUGGGAUAAUACUGACGCUCAUGCACGAAAGCGUGGGGAGCAAAC
Molecule: ribosomal RNA, 422 nt
Filed under: uncultured bacterium
Lineage: Bacteria
Description: partial 16S ribosomal RNA
Rfam family: Bacterial small subunit ribosomal RNA
Source: RNAcentral